This 460-nucleotide ribosomal RNA is filed under the name uncultured bacterium. RNAcentral describes it as "partial 16S ribosomal RNA". It matches the Rfam family "Bacterial small subunit ribosomal RNA", at positions 338 to 795 of the family's 1533-position model. The record is from RNAcentral.
CCUACGGGAGGCAGCAGUGAGGAAUAUUGGUCAAUGGGCGGAAGCCUGAACCAGCCAAGUAGCGUGCAGGAUGACGGCCCUACGGGUUGUAAACUGCUUUUAUACGGGAAUUACGCGCCUUACGUGUAGGGCCUUGCAUGUCCCGUAUGAUUAAGGACUGGCUAAUUCCGUGGCAGCAGCCGGGGUAAUACGGAAGGUCCGGGCGUUAGCCGGAUUUAUUGGGGUUAAGGGGAACGUAGGCCGCAUGUCAAGCGUGCUGUGAAAUGUCCGGGCUCAACCCGGGCCUUGCAGCGCGAACUGGCGUGCUUGAGUCCGCGGAAGGCAGGCGGAAUUCGUCGUGUAGCGGUGAAAUGCUUAGAUAUGACGAAGAACCCCGAUUGCGAAGGCAGCUUGCUGCAGCGGAACUGACGCUGAUGCUCGAAAGCGCGGGUAUCGAACAGGAUUAGAUACCCUUGUAGUC